RNAcentral lists this ribosomal RNA (293 nucleotides) under uncultured Synergistaceae bacterium. Its description in RNAcentral is "partial 16S ribosomal RNA". It matches the Rfam family "Bacterial small subunit ribosomal RNA", at positions 1089 to 1382 of the family's 1533-position model. The record is from RNAcentral. Lineage: Bacteria; Thermotogati; Synergistota; Synergistia; Synergistales; Synergistaceae.
GCAACGAGCGCAACCCCUGCAUUCAGUUGCCAUCGGGUAAUGCCGGGCACUCUGGAAGGACUGCCAUCGACAAGAUGGAGGAAGUGGGGAUGACGUCAAGUCAUCAUGGCCCUUAUGUCCAGGGCGACACACGUGCUACAAUGGCCGGCACAACGGGAAGCGAGUUCGCGAGGACGAGCGGAUCCCUCAAAGCCGGUCGCAGUUCGGAUUGAAGUCUGCAACUCGACUUCAUGAAGCUGGAAUCGCUAGUAAUCGUGGAUCAGAAUGUCACGGUGAAUACGUUCCCGGGCCUU